GAUGAACGCUGGCGGCGUGCCUAAUACAUGCAAGUCGAGCGAACAGACGAGGAGCUUGCUCCUCUGACGUUAGCGGCGGACGGGUGAGUAACACGUGGAUAACCUACCUAUAAGACUGGGAUAACUUCGGGAAACCGGAGCUAAUACCGGAUAAUAUAUUGAACCGCAUGGUUCAAUAGUGAAAGACGGUUUUGCUGUCACUUAUAGAUGGAUCCGCGCCGCAUUAGCUAGUUGGUAAGGUAACGGCUUACCAAGGCAACGAUGCGUAGCCGACCUGAGAGGGUGGUCGGCCACACUGGAACUGAGACACGGUCCAGGCUCCUACGGGAGGCAGCAGUAGGGAAUCUUCCGCAAUGGGCGAAAGCUUGACGGAGCAACGCCGCGUGAGUGAUGAAGGUCUUCGGAUCGUAAAACUCUGUUAUUAGGGAAGAACAAAUGUGUAAGUAACUAUGUACGUCUUGACGGUACCUAAUCAGAAAGCCACGGCUAACUACGUG
Molecule: ribosomal RNA, 497 nt
Filed under: uncultured bacterium
Lineage: Bacteria
Description: partial 16S ribosomal RNA
Rfam family: Bacterial small subunit ribosomal RNA
Source: RNAcentral